AGCAGUCGCCGCGGUAAUACGUAGGGUGCGAGCGUUAAUCGGAAUUACUGGGCGCAAAGCGGGCGCAGACGGUUACUUAAGCAGGAUGUGAAAUCCCCGGGCUCAACCUGGGAACUGCGUUCUGAACUGGGUGACUAGAGUGUGUCAGAGGGAGGUAGAAUUCCACGUGUAGCAGUGAAAUGCGUAGAGAUGUGGAGGAAUACCGAUGGCGAAGGCAGCCUCCUGGGAUAACACUGACGUUCAUGCCCGAAAGCGUGGGUAGCAAACAGGAUUAGAUACCCGCGUAGUCCCUGUCUCUUAUAC
This 303-nucleotide ribosomal RNA is filed under the name uncultured bacterium. RNAcentral describes it as "partial 16S ribosomal RNA". It matches the Rfam family "Bacterial small subunit ribosomal RNA", at positions 507 to 807 of the family's 1533-position model. The record is from RNAcentral.